GGACUCUUCACUUUUGAUGCCGCACCCGUGUCGGAUUCUCCAAAAAUACACUACUUUUGGUGAAUCCAACACGCAUCCAUUGAAAUUAUUAAAGAGUCCGAGCAACAUAGACAACAAGCACGGUCAUCUAGUAUUUAUGAUUAUUAUGAUAAACAAUCUUACCCAAAAACAGUCUCAUGGAAUAUGAACAGAGAUUGUUGCUUAUGGGAUGGAGUUAAAUGCGAUGAGACGUCGGGCCAAGUGAUUGAACUUGACAUCAGUUGUAGCCGGUGGGGAUGAUGAUUGAUUCCAAUAGCACUUUCUUUGAGCUCUCGUCUCCAAAAAGGCUCGACCUUUCUUGGAAUAACUUACCCAAUUCUCACACCUCAGACGAUAGAUGACUCCAACUGUAUUCUACUAAGAAAUGUGGCUGGAAAAGGGUGAUAUUCGACUCAAUCGUCCCUGCAACUGAGGUCAUGUUCAAUCACAUGCCCCCACGUCUUAUCGCAUUCACUCCAUCCCAUAGACACCAAUCUCAGCUCAUAUUCCAUGAAUUGUCUCUGGAUAAGAUUCCUGACCGUAGUAAUCACAAACACUCGAUGAGGGACCUACUGUAAGCAUUCUCUUGAAUUUAAGAAGGGAAAUGCUUUGAUCAGAAAUUUCUGUCCAAGAGCACAGUCGUCUAGGAUUUGUGAUUACUACGGUAAAAGAUCUUAUCCAAAAACUCUUUCAUGGAAUAUGAACAGAGAUUACUGCUUAUGGGAUGGAGUUAAAUGUGAUGAGACGUCAGGCCAAGUGAUCGAACUUGACAUCAGAUGUAGCUAGUCGGGACGAUGAUUGAUUCCAAAACCACCCUCCUCCAGCUCUCUCAUCUCCAAUGACUCGACCUUUCUUGAAAUAACUUAUCCAAUUCUCACGUCUCGGACGAUAGAUGACUUUAACUGUAUUCUACUAAGAAAUGUGGCUGGAAAAGGGUGAUAUUCGACUCAAUCGUCCCUGCAACUGAGGUCAUGUUCAAUCACAUGCCCCCACGUCUUAUCGCAUUCACUCCAUCCCAUAGACACCAAUCUCAGCUCAUAUUCCAUGAAUUGUCUCUGGAUAAGAUUCCUGACCGUAGUAAUCACAAACACUCGAUGAGGGACCUACUGUAAGCAUUCUCUUGAAUUUAAGAAGGGAAAUGCUUUGAUCAGAAAUUUCUGUCCAAGAGCACAGUCGUCUAGGAUUUGUGAUUACUACGGUAAAAGAUCUUAUCCAAAAACUCUUUCAUGGAAUAUGAACAGAGAUUACUGCUUAUGGGAUGGAGUUAAAUGUGAUGAGACGUCAGGCCAAGUGAUCGAACUUGACAUCAGAUGUAGCUAGUCGGGACGAUGAUUGAUUCCAAAACCACCCUCCUCCAGCUCUCUCAUCUCCAAUGACUCGACCUUUCUUGAAAUAACUUAUCCAAUUCUCACGUCUCGGACGAUAGAUGACUUU
This 1452-nucleotide unclassified non-coding RNA is filed under the name Hevea brasiliensis (rubber tree). Lineage: Eukaryota; Viridiplantae; Streptophyta; Magnoliopsida; Malpighiales; Euphorbiaceae. The record is from RNAcentral.